This is a non-coding RNA of Lactuca sativa (garden lettuce), 2966 nucleotides long. The record is from RefSeq and is a predicted model, not a curated record. NCBI's taxonomy places the organism in Eukaryota, Viridiplantae, Streptophyta, Magnoliopsida, Asterales, Asteraceae.
UAAUUAAAGUGGUAACAAUAAAUUCUUAUACAUUGCAUUCCUUACUUAAUGUGCACUGAAUGACUUUCUGGCAUUGUUUAAGUAACAGGUAAGCUGAUUAAAUGAUGGAGCGACAAAGGGACAGAGAUGAAGAUGAUAAAUAUAAGAGAAGAAGAGAUGAUGAUAGAUACAGGAGUGAAAGAGACAGUCAAGAUAGGAGGAGGCUCAACAAUAAGAGUGAUGGAGAAGAUGCAGAUGGUAGGAGGGGACGAGAUAGGAACAAGGAAAUUGUAAAUGACAGGAACAUGAAUAGUAGUGAUGAUGAAGAUGCAAAUGAUAUGAGGAGAAGAGAUAGGAGGCGUGGUGAUGAUUAUGCUAAUGACAGGAGGAGGAGGAGGAGAAGAGAUGGAUGGAGUGACAAUGAAUAUAAAAGUGAUAAAAGGAGAGACAAAAAGAAAGAUAAAGGUAGGGAUGAGGAAGAUGAUAAUGACAGGAGAAGAAGAAGGAGGGAUGAUGAUGAAGAUGGUAAUAAUAGGAGGAACAAGGAAAAGAAUGAAGACAUGAGGAAAAGAGGUAGGAGCAAGGACAUAAGGAGUGAUGAUGAAGAUGGAAAUGAUAAGAACAACAGAAACAAGAAUGUAGACAAGAAAAGAAGUGAUGAACAUGAUCAAAGUGAUGAAGAAGUUGGUGAAAUCAGAAAAAAGAAUGAGGACAGAAGUGAUGAAGAAUAUGGUGAGAUCAGGAAAAGUGGUAGAAAUGGGAAGUAUGAUGAUUCGAGUGAUAAGGAAGGUGGUGAAAUUCGGAAGAGAGGGAGAAAAGGUAAGGAUAGAAGGAGUGAUGAUGAAGAUGAUCGUAAAGACAGAAGAAGGGAAAGAAAGAAUGACAGAAGUGACAAUGAUGAUGAUAAAUAUAAAAGGAGAAGGAAUAGGAACAAAGAUGAAAAGAAUGAUGAUGAAGAUGACAGGAGACAAGAUUAUAAAAGGGACAGAAAGAGGAAUGGUGAUCAUAAAGAGAGAAGAAGAACUGAUAAUGAUGUGUUAAAGCAUAAAGUUGAUCAAAAUGGGGAUAAAGAAAAACCUGAUGAAGGUGCAAGAUUCAAAAAGCUUGCUGAUUUGCAAGAAAGCAUGACUAAUUUAGGAAAGAGUGGAGGGGUGUAUAUUCCACCAUUCAAGUUGGCCCGUAUGAUGAGUGAAUUUCAAGAUAAAAGCAGUAUGGAAUAUCAAAGAAUGACAUGGGAUGCAUUAAGGAAGAGUAUAAAUGGUUUGGUCAACAAGGUCAACGACACAAACAUCAAAAACAUCAUCCCAGAGUUGUUUGCUGAAAAUCUGAUAAGAGGAAGAGGAUUGUUUUGUCGAUCAUGCAUGAAGUCUCAAAUGGCAUCUCCUCGUUUUACAGACGUUUUUUCAGCUCUGGUUGCUGUUGUAAACAGUGUAGAUGACAAGGGCAUAUAAGAGAAAUGACAAGCCUCAAUUACUUGCUGUUGUUAAGUUUAUAGCUCAUUUGGUCAACCAACAUGUAGUUCAUGAGCUUAUUGCUCUUGAACUACUCACAACUCUACUGGAGAAUACCACUGAUGACAGUGUAGAUGUUGUUGUUGGUUUUGUUACAGAAUGUGGAUCAAUACUUCAGGAUCUAUCUCCCCGAGGCUUGCAUGGAAUCUUUGAGCGAUUUCGUAGGAUUCUUCAUGAGGGAGAAAUAGACAAAAGGGUGCAGUUCUUGAUUAAAGGUCUUUUUGCAUUAAGAAAAGCCAAGUUUCAGGGGCAUCCAGCUGUUAGUCCAGAGUUGGAUCUUGUUAAGCUGGAAGAUCAGUUGACACAUGAAGUAUCCCUUCUAGAUAAAAUCGAUCCGGAAUUGCCCUUAGAUUUUUUCAAGAUGGAUCCUGACUUCAUUGAGAAUGAAAAGAAGUUUGAAGACCUGAAGAAAACAAUUCUUGGCGACGAAUCUUCAGAAAAAGAAGAAGGUGUUGGGGAGGAUUCAGAUGAUGAUGAUGAUGAAGAUGAAUCUUCAGAAGAAGAAGAAGACGAAGAGCAAAUGAGAAUCAAAGAUGAAACAGAAACAAAUCCUGUCAAUCUUCGAGGAACAAUCUACUUAACAAUCAUGUCAAGUGUUGACUUUGAAGAAGCCGGUCAUAAACUCCUCAAAAUCAAACUCGAACCCGGACACGAGAUGGAGCUAUGCAUAAUGCUACUGGAAUGUUGUAGUCAAGAGAGAACAUAUCUUCGAUACUAUGGUCUUUUAGGUCAAAGGUUUUGCAUGAUCAACAAAGUCUAUCAAGAAAAUAUUGAAAAAUGUUUUGUUCAACAAUACUCCAUGAUCCACCGCCUCGAGACUAACAAACUCAGAAUGUUGCGAAAUUCUUCGCGCAUCUCCUCGGGACGGAUGCCUUGCCUUGGCAUGUCUUGGCUUACAUUCGUCUCACUGAAGAAGACACCACUUCCUCUUCCAGGUACUUUUCUUUUAUUGUACGACAGGAGCUGUCUGGGCAUCUUGGGAUUCGGCUGUUGAACGAGCGGUUGAGUGAGUCGGUGAUGCAAGAGGAUUUUGAGUCGAUUUUCCCGAGAGAUAAUCCCAAGAACACGUUGUUUUCAAUCAAUUUUUUUUACUUCCAUUGGGCUUGGUGGGAUUACUGAGAAUUUGAGGGAGUAUCUCAAGAACAUGCCUCGUCUUAUUAUGCAACAAAAGCCUGCGUCGGAAUCGGAUCCGGUUCCGGUUCUGGUUCCGAUUUCAGUUCUGAUUCUGAUUCCGGUUCCGAUUCUAGUUCGGGGUCUGAGUCGGAGAGUGAGAGUGAGACUAAUCAUAAGAGCAGCAAGCGCCGAAAGAAACGUUAGAUGCUUUACAUGUAUUGUUAUGUUGAGAAGAAAAUGAAUAUCUGGUUUUUGGUAUCUUGUAAGAUGUUAAUGACUAGUUGUUUUUGGAGGUUUGUUUUAUUUGAUUGUAACGUUAUAUGAUUUUCAACAAACUGGAUCUCAAUGUGUAAAAUCUGUAAU